GUAAAUCAUGAAAAUACUACUUGUACAGUCAGGGUACCGUUUAGUUCGAGUAUAAGCAAGAACUAGCUAUUAUAGGGAUAGAUACAAGUAAAUAUAUGGAGAUAAAAAAAAAUAGCGUUUGGAUGAAAAUUAAGUUGUUCCCGGAGAUAAGAAAAAUACCGUUUGGAUAGAUAAUAUGGAAUAAAAAAAAUAAUUGAUAGUUAUAUAUAGAAAAUGAAGGUGUUGGUGAAAAUAGUUAUACCAGAUUAUUUUAGAUAUCCAAGAACUACUAUUCUCGGAUAAAAAUUUGCGUUUAGGUAUAAAGAGGGAUAAGAAGUUAU
RNAcentral lists this long non-coding RNA (320 nucleotides) under Ananas comosus (pineapple). RNAcentral's name for it is "long non-coding RNA (ACOM_LNC018937)". Lineage: Eukaryota; Viridiplantae; Streptophyta; Magnoliopsida; Poales; Bromeliaceae. The record is from RNAcentral.